RNAcentral lists this ribosomal RNA (451 nucleotides) under uncultured bacterium. RNAcentral's name for it is "bacterial SSU rRNA". It matches the Rfam family "Bacterial small subunit ribosomal RNA", at positions 29 to 524 of the family's 1533-position model. The record is from RNAcentral.
AACGAACGCUGGCGGCAUGCCUAACACAUGCAAGUUGAACGAACCCUUCGGGGUUAGUGGCGCACGGGUGCGUAACGCGUGGGAAUCUGCCCUUUGCUUCGGAAUAACAGUUAGAAAUGACUGCUAAUACCGGAUAAUGUCUUCGGACCAAAGAUUUAUCGGCAAAGGAUGAGCCCGCGUAGGAUUAGCUAGUUGGUGGGGUAAAAGCUCACCAAGGCGACGAUCCUUAGCUGGUCUGAGAGGAUGAUCAGCCACACUGGGACUGAGACACGGCCCAGACUCCUACGGGAGGCAGCAGUGGGGAAUAUUGGACAAUGGGGCGAAAGCCUGAUCCAGCAAUGCCGCGUGAGUGAUGAAGGCCUUAGGGUUGUAAAGCUCUUUUACCAGGGAUGAUAAUGACAGUACCUGGAGAAUAAGCUCCGGCUAACUCCGUGCCAGCAGCCGCGGUAAU